AGCCACAGGCCCUGGUGUGGUGUAAGUGGCCUGAGCAAGAGCCACAGACCCUGGUGUGGUGUAAGUGGCCUCAGCCAGCAGCCACAGGCCCUGGUGUGGUGUAAUUGGCCUCAAUAGCAACUAAGGCCCUGGUGUGGUGUAAUUGGCCUCAAUAGCAACUAAUGCCCUGGUGUGGUGUAAGUGGCCUCAGCCAGUGCCACAGGCCCUGGUGUGGUGUAAGUGGCCUGAGCAAGAGCCACAGGCCCUGGUGUGGUGUAAGUGGCCUCAGCCAGCAGCCACAGACCCUGGUGUGGUGUAAGUGGCCUCAGCCAGCAGCCACAGGCCCUGGUGUGGUGUAGGUGGCCUCAGCCGGCAACUCAG
Long non-coding RNA from Astatotilapia calliptera (eastern happy), 360 nucleotides. The record is from Ensembl. NCBI's taxonomy places the organism in Eukaryota, Metazoa, Chordata, Actinopteri, Cichliformes, Cichlidae.